UACGUAGGGGGCAAGCGUUGUCCGGAAUCAUUGGGCGUAAAGAGCGUGUAGGCGGUCCGGUAAGUCAGCUGUGAAAGUCAAGGGCUCAACCCUUGAAAGCCGGUUGAUACUGUCGGGCUAGAGUCCGGAAGAGGCGAGUGGAAUUCCCGGUGUAGCGGUGAAAUGCGCAGAUAUCGGGAGGAACAUCAGUUGCGAAGGCGGCUCUCUGGACCAGCACUGACACUGAGGCACGAAAGCGUGGGGAGCAAACAGG
This 253-nucleotide ribosomal RNA is filed under the name uncultured bacterium. Its description in RNAcentral is "partial 16S ribosomal RNA". It matches the Rfam family "Bacterial small subunit ribosomal RNA", at positions 524 to 776 of the family's 1533-position model. The record is from RNAcentral.